UACGUAGGUGGCAAGCGUUGUCCGGAAUUAUUGGGCGUAAAGCGCGCGCAGGCGGUCCUUUAAGUCUGAUGUGAAAGCCCACGGCUCAACCGUGGAGGGUCAUUGGAAACUGGGGGACUUGAGUGCAGAGGAGGAAAGCGGAAUUCCACGUGUAGCGGUGAAAUGCGUAGAGAUGUGGAGGAACACCAGUGGCGAAGGCGGCUUUCUGGUCUGUAACUGACGCUGAGGCGCGAAAGCGUGGGGAGCAAACGGG
RNAcentral lists this ribosomal RNA (253 nucleotides) under uncultured bacterium. RNAcentral describes it as "partial 16S ribosomal RNA". It matches the Rfam family "Bacterial small subunit ribosomal RNA", at positions 524 to 776 of the family's 1533-position model. The record is from RNAcentral.